GUAGCCGAGGUUUGUCUUCUCUGAUCUUUCGUUUCCCGCCGAAUUUCGUGCGCCAGCUUAGCAUCAAGGCUCGCCGCAACUUUAGCAAUAUCGGUGUUGCGCAAAUAGUCGCUGCUUCGUGGUCGAAUGGUCCUGCUCCAGAUUCCCCCUCCUUGGCGGCUGCUGCUUCUGCUCAGGCAGCGGCAGCGGCAGCCGCCGUCACCGUCACCGUCACUAAUGACGGGGCGGCUGUAGAAAGUUGUAUUGACAACGGUAGUGUACAGAUUGGAGGUUCAGAUAAUUCGACGACAACGUUU
RNAcentral lists this long non-coding RNA (296 nucleotides) under Gossypium barbadense (sea-island cotton). RNAcentral describes it as "long non-coding RNA (GBAR_LNC006706)". Lineage: Eukaryota; Viridiplantae; Streptophyta; Magnoliopsida; Malvales; Malvaceae. The record is from RNAcentral.